RNAcentral lists this ribosomal RNA (253 nucleotides) under uncultured bacterium. RNAcentral's name for it is "partial 16S ribosomal RNA". It matches the Rfam family "Bacterial small subunit ribosomal RNA", at positions 524 to 776 of the family's 1533-position model. The record is from RNAcentral.
GCCAGAGGAGGCGAUCGUUAUCCGGAGUCAUUGGGCGUAAAGGGUACGUAGGCGGCUAGUCAAGUCUGAGGUUAAAGACCACAGCUUAACUGUGGAAAGGCCUUGGAAACUGACUGGCUAGAGUGGGGCAGGGGUUGCGGGAAUUCCCGGUGUAGCGGUGAAAUGCGUAGAUAUCGGGAAGAACACCUGAGGCGAAAGCGCGCAACUGGGCCCUGACUGACGCUGAGGUACGAAAGCUAGGGGAGCGAAUGGG